This 200-nucleotide unclassified non-coding RNA is filed under the name soil metagenome. RNAcentral's name for it is "partial contains internal transcribed spacer 2 and large subunit ribosomal RNA". The record is from RNAcentral.
UCAUUCACAACCCUCAAGCCCGGCUUGUAGUUGGGGUCGGUCCCUCCCGACCGCCCCGAAAGGCAGUGGCGGCGUCGCGUCGGACCCGUGGUGCAACGAGCUGUCCCCAGCAUGCACCGGCGGGACGGCGUGGCCCGGCCUCGACCCCCAUGUUUUCUCAGGUUGACCUCGGAUCAGGUAGGAAUACCCGCUGAACCUAA